UUGAAAUGAGACAGACAGAUGGUGAGUUUUCAGUAGAAGAUGAAGAUCGUGAUCUUGCUCAAUGCAAUGGCUAAAAACACAACUCCAUCCGCCUGCAUGGAUGCCGGGCAAACCAAAAUUCUUGUGGUCAAAUGUGAAGAUUUUAGUUUCUCAGACUCCCCUCAUGUGUUCAAACAGUAUAAACCAUUCCAGGUUAACACCAUCUUCGCUGCCCAAACUUCUUUGCCAUAUUAGAAAUAUCACAAGCACCAUACAGGUUCUUUAAGUUUGCAAAAGGAUGGAAAUAACAACAUUGAGUAGAUUAAAUUCAUACAUACACGUAUCCAAAUUUCAAUAUAACAAGUUUCUUCAUAUCCCAAGUCAAUCCAGAUUGAAUCGAUGCCUUGGGAAUCCUGUCCUGCACUAAAAAGGUGCUUCGUAAUGGUCAGCUAGAGAUUCUUGUGAUUUCUCCCG
This 453-nucleotide unclassified non-coding RNA is filed under the name Hevea brasiliensis (rubber tree). Lineage: Eukaryota; Viridiplantae; Streptophyta; Magnoliopsida; Malpighiales; Euphorbiaceae. The record is from RNAcentral.